ACCAAGGCAUCGAUCAGUAGCUGGUCUGAGAGGACGACCAGCCACACUGGAACUGAGACACGGUCCAGACUCCUACGGGAGGCAGCAGUGGGGAAUUUUGGACAAUGGGCGCAAGCCUGAUCCAGCAAUGCCGCGUGAGUGAAGAAGGCCUUCGGGUUGUAAAGCUCUUUUGUCAGGGAAGAAACGGUGGAGGCUAAUAUCCUCUGCUAAUGACGGUACCUGAAGAAUAAGCACCGGCUAACUACGUGCCAGCAGCCGCGGUAAUACGUAGGGUGCAAGCGUUAAUCGGAAUUACUGGGCGUAAAGCGUGCGCAGGCGGUUUUGUAAGACUGUCGUGAAAUCCCCGGGCUCAACCUGGGAAUGGCGAUGGUGACUGCAAGGCUAGAGUUUGGCAGAGGGGGGUAGAAUUCCACGUGUAGCAGUGAAAUGCGUAGAUAUGUGGAGGAACACCGAUGGCGAAGGCAGCCCCCUGGGUCAAAACUGACGCUCAUGCACGAAAGCGUGGGGAGCAAACAGGAUUAGAUACCCUGGUAGUCCACGCCCUAAACGAUGUCUACUAGUUGUCGGGUCUUAAUUGACUUGGUAACGCAGCUAACGCGUGAAGUAGACCGCCUGGGGAGUACGGUCGCAAGAUUAAAACUCAAAGGAAUUGACGGGGACCCGCACAAGCGGUGGAUGAUGUGGAUUAAUUCGAUGCAACGCGAAAAACCUUACCUACCCUUGACAUGGCUGGAAUCCC
Molecule: ribosomal RNA, 739 nt
Filed under: Duganella vulcania
Lineage: Bacteria; Pseudomonadati; Pseudomonadota; Betaproteobacteria; Burkholderiales; Oxalobacteraceae
Description: bacterial SSU rRNA
Rfam family: Bacterial small subunit ribosomal RNA
Source: RNAcentral